This 81-nucleotide ribosomal RNA is filed under the name Lutispora thermophila DSM 19022. RNAcentral describes it as "16S rRNA. Bacterial SSU". Lineage: Bacteria; Bacillati; Bacillota; Clostridia; Lutisporales; Lutisporaceae. The record is from RNAcentral.
CUGGCUCAGGACGAACGCUGGCGGCGUGCCUAACACAUGCAAGUCGAACGGAGAUGGUGGGAUAGCUUGCUAUUUUAUCAU